GCCGCGUGUGUGAAGAAGGCUUUCGGGUUGUAAAGCACUUUCAGCGAGGAAGAAAGCCUCUGGGUUAAUACCCCAGAGGAAGGACAUCACUCGCAGAAGAAGCACCGGCUAACUCCGUGCCAGCAGCCGCGGUAAUACGGAGGGUGCGAGCGUUAAUCGGAAUUACUGGGCGUAAAGCGCGCGUAGGUGGCUUGGCACGCCGGUUGUGAAAGCCCCGGGCUCAACCUGGGAACGGCAUCCGGAACGGCCAGGCUAGAGUGCAGGAGAGGAAGGUAGAAUUCCCGGUGUAGCGGUGAAAUGCGUAGAGAUCGGGAGGAAUACCAGUGGCGAAGGCGGCCUUCUGGCCUGACACUGACACUGAGGUGCGAAAGCGUGGGUAGCAAACAGGAUUAGAUACCCUGGUAGUCCACGCCGUAAACGAUGUCGACUAGCCGUUGGGACCUUUAAGGACUUAGUGGCGCAGUUAACGCGAUAAGUCGACCGCCUGGGGAGUACGGCCGCAAGGUUAAAACUCAAAUGAAUUGACGGGGGCCCGCACAAGCGGUGGAGCAUGUGGUUUAAUUCGAUGCAACGCGAAGAACCUUACCUACCCUUGACAUCCAGAGAAGUUGGCAGAGAUGCCUUCGUGCCUUC
Molecule: ribosomal RNA, 633 nt
Filed under: Halomonas sp. S7-19
Lineage: Bacteria; Pseudomonadati; Pseudomonadota; Gammaproteobacteria; Oceanospirillales; Halomonadaceae
Description: bacterial SSU rRNA
Rfam family: Bacterial small subunit ribosomal RNA
Source: RNAcentral